This 468-nucleotide ribosomal RNA is filed under the name uncultured bacterium. RNAcentral describes it as "partial 16S ribosomal RNA". It matches the Rfam family "Bacterial small subunit ribosomal RNA", at positions 28 to 507 of the family's 1533-position model. The record is from RNAcentral.
GACGAACGCUGGCGGCGUGCUUAACACAUGCAAGUCGAACGGAAAGGCCCUGCUUUUGUGUGGUGCUCGCGUGGCGAACGGGUGAGUAACACGUGAGUAACCUGCCCUUGACUUUGGGAUAACUUCAGGAAACUGGGGCUAAUACCGGAUAGGAGCUCCUGCUGCAUGGUGGGGGUUGGAAAGUUUCGGCGGUUGGGGAUGGACUGGGGGCUUAGCAGCUUGUUGGUGGGGGAGUGGCUUACCAAGGCUUUGACGGGUAGCCGGCACGAGAGGGUGCACAGCCACCUUGGGACUAGGGUACGGCCCAGAGUCCUACAGGAGGCAGCAGUCGGGAAUAUUGCACAAUGAGCCGACGUCUGAUGCAGCAGCGCCGCGUGCGGGAUGCCGGCCAUCGGGUUGUAAACCGCUUUCGCCUGUGACGAAGCGUGAUUGACGGUAAUGGGUAAAGAAGCACCGGCUAACUACGUG